AUUUGGGUAAGCUGGUGACAAUGACUCCAAAGAUCAUCCAGAACCUUCACACCAAGGAGGGAUUGGCUAACCAUGGACUGAAAGAAGGGGACAACUGGAUGAGGAGCUGGUAAAGCCAGAAAAUCUCAGUAAGUAUCACAGGUGGUAUCUCACAUGGGGUUGUGCAGCACCAGCUUUCCAGGUAUCCUCACUCCAAACCUCUGCCCACUCUUCAACACCAGACCCUGGGAAGGAAGAUAAAAAUAUUUCCAUCUUCCACAAGAGUUCUGAGCAAAGCCUGGCCAGCCUCUGAAGUCAUACCAAGAAAGUCACCAUUGUGGGGUUUCAGCCUUCCCUGCUGUUUUCUGCCUUCCCAGGUGCUAAUAUCACAAUUUAGUUGAUCUCAAAUGUCACUUGUGUGCAAGGUGUUUGGGCCUAGAAGAGCUCUGAGACAGAUCUCAGCCUCCAUGCUACUGGUGACUAUCUCCUGAGCUCCUUCAGUGACCAAUCCUGGGUCUUCUCCAAUGUCUUGACAGGGCGUGUGCUCACCAAGGUGACAGAUGAGACCUUCUGAUGCUCUCUUGCCCGUGCACACUUCCAUUCUCUGAGUCUUUUGGGUCAAGAUCUGAGCUUUCAGGGAGCACACCAAUGGCAUGAACCUCUCUGAUGCCUCUGAGCCCAGCCUUAGCAUUCUCUUCUUCAUGAGCUACUACCUGUCUACAGCAGCCAACAACUCUUCUGUCAAACUCUUGGGUCUAUGCAAGGUUAAGAGCCAUAAGGCACUGCAGUUGCAUAACACUUUGAGGUGAAGUCGUUAAUCUUUGACCACAAUAGUACCUAACUGGUUCUCAAGGAUAAGAAUGUGCAAAUCUGUAUCUGCCAGAAGUGGACAGAGAUUCUUCACUUUAUAAAGCUUAGC
RNAcentral lists this long non-coding RNA (898 nucleotides) under Homo sapiens (human). Its description in RNAcentral is "non-protein coding lnc-CDH19-6:1". Lineage: Eukaryota; Metazoa; Chordata; Mammalia; Primates; Hominidae. The record is from RNAcentral.